RNAcentral lists this ribosomal RNA (723 nucleotides) under Bacillus sp. b9(2010b). RNAcentral describes it as "bacterial SSU rRNA". It matches the Rfam family "Bacterial small subunit ribosomal RNA", at positions 51 to 757 of the family's 1533-position model. Lineage: Bacteria; Bacillati; Bacillota; Bacilli; Caryophanales; Bacillaceae. The record is from RNAcentral.
AUACAUGCAAGUCGAGCGAAUGAUGAGGAGCUUGCUCCUCUGAUUUAGCGGCGGACGGGUGAGUAACACGUGGGUAAUCUGCCUGUAAGACGGGGAUAACUCCGGGAAACCGGGGCUAAUACCGGAUAAUAAGAGAAGAAGCAUUUCUUCUUUUUGAAAGUCGGUUUCGGCUGACACUUACAGAUGAGCCCGCGGCGCAUUAGCUAGUUGGUGAGGUAACGGCUCACCAAGGCGACGAUGCGUAGCCGACCUGAGAGGGUGAUCGGCCACACUGGGACUGAGACACGGCCCAGACUCCUACGGGAGGCAGCAGUAGGGAAUCUUCGGCAAUGGGCGAAAGCCUGACCGAGCAACGCCGCGUGAGCGAUGAAGGCCUUCGGGUCGUAAAGCUCUGUUGUUAGAGAAGAACAAGUACGAGAGUAACUGCUCGUACCUUGACGGUACCUAACCAGAAAGCCACGGCUAACUACGUGCCAGCAGCCGCGGUAAUACGUAGGUGGCAAGCGUUAUCCGGAAUUAUUGGGCGUAAAGCGCGCGCAGGCGGUCUCUUAAGUCUGAUGUGAAAGCCCACGGCUCAACCGUGGAGGGUCAUUGGAAACUGGGAGACUUGAGUGCAGGAGAGAAAAGUGGAAUUCCACGUGUAGCGGUGAAAUGCGUAGAGAUGUGGAGGAACACCAGUGGCGAAGGCGGCUUUUUGGCCUGUAACUGACGCUGAGGCGCGAA